CUGCGCACACUCUCCCGGGCUGGCCGGCUCCCUGCCCUGCCCCUCGCGCAGUCACGCGCGUCCACGCAUCGCCCUCGCACCCACGCGACCGACCGGCGGGCGGCGGGAUCCUCGCCUCUUCACCGUGCGCCACGCCACGCAGCUGCGGAGCAUCGUCUAUCCCGCGGGGGCGCAGAGUCACCGCGUACACACCGCACACUCUUUCGGAGCCAGGAGUUCUUGAGUCAUGUUUUGAUGGGAGGAAUAUUAAUAUGUAUUAAUGCUGACUGUCAAGACCUGCAAAUAUAAAUAACGCAUCUGCAACUUGUGAAUCGCUUAAAUUCGCCACUCCACCGCAGCCUUGACUCCUGGCCAGCUCGCCCAGACACCUGGACCGCAGCGCAGCGAAGAGAGCCAGCUGCUUCCUCCUUGGGCCAAAACACCAGCGCAUGGUCCAGGCCAUUGGCAAGUAGACCUGGGUCUAGGGUGUCCAGAAUUUACUGCUGAAUUGACUGCUCUCGCCAGAGUAAAAUCUGUCAAGUCGCAGUUUCUUUUAAUUAAAAAGAAAACGGAGUGGUGUGUGGCAAGUACCCACAGACGUUUGCCUCUUGUGUGCACCUAGCCUGUGCUGAACUUCAUGGGGUGUCAAGUUCAAGUUCCCCCAUCCAUCCUCAGGUGACAGCAUUCUCAGCUCAUGCUGAAAGGUCACAGCAACACACGGGGGAUAAGGUGGCAUUGGGGUCCAGGAUGGAAAGAUAGUCGUCAAAUAUGAUUGAGGCUGAGGAGAUGGCUCAGCAGUUAAAGGUGCUUACUUACAAAGCCCACUGGCCAGGAUUCAAUUCUCCAGCCACCCACAUAAAGCAGGAUGGGCAUGUACAGUGGCAAGACACCC
Long non-coding RNA from Jaculus jaculus (lesser Egyptian jerboa), 871 nucleotides. RefSeq lists it as uncharacterized. Lineage: Eukaryota; Metazoa; Chordata; Mammalia; Rodentia; Dipodidae. The record is from RefSeq and is a predicted model, not a curated record. The transcript has 3 exons.